UACUGCAAGGAGUCUAAUUUGUGGGGCAUUUGGAUAAAAUGAAACAUAGUGUGUUGUGCAUUACACAUCAUGUGCACCUGUGAUGGGGAUUGGGGAUUGCAAUUAUUCCCCAUGAAUGAGGAAUUCCCAGUAAGUGUGGGGCAUAAACUCACUUUGAUGAAGUCCCUG
Non-coding RNA from Pelecanus crispus (Dalmatian pelican), 168 nucleotides. The record is from Rfam. NCBI's taxonomy places the organism in Eukaryota, Metazoa, Chordata, Aves, Pelecaniformes, Pelecanidae.